AGCAUUUUAACAGUUACGUGUUGGUACUGUUAGUUGAUUUUAGUUAAUGUUUAUUUCAUAUGAAAUGUAUUAAUCUUCUCGCAGCGAGAUAAAUUUGUCACACAGAGUGAUAUGUGUUACAGCAGGUCGCAUUUACUAUAAAACGAUCAGAGUUUUAGUACCAUAUUGGAGACCUAAUAUCUGAAAGAAUUGUUUUCCCGGAUGUCAAAAAAUAUGCAGGUGUAGGUAUAAAAAGUAGCCCGUUUUAUGCGAGAUAAAUCGGACAGAACCAAGAGUUUAACUUGGAGAGAUUUUAAAACGAAUCAAUGAAAACAGUUUGAGAAAUUAUCCAACGAUUCAAGAUUUUCAAAAGAUUUGUCUGCAUUACCAUCUAUGGCGGAAGCGUCCGGUUCAAUAUGUCGUAUUUGACGUUCCGAUUGUCGACUUGAAAUUGAUAUUGGUCCAGUUUAGUGGUUAAAGAUUUAUUUUCAAUUAGUAAUAUCUUAAAGACUUUUCAUAUUGGCAUCUUAUUCUGAACUGUUUCAUUUCCUUUGUUUCGAUGUUACUGCGAGCAACUAAUACUACAUCUGUGUUUGUCUUGUUUAUAGCCUAUUGAAUUUAGAUAUAAAAUACUUUAAAUUCGGACGAGCAGGUCGAGGGAGAAUUUGAAUGUAUUUUAUUUCGUUUGAAAUAGGGUUGUCCCGUUUGCUAUUUCAGUUAUUAUUUAUAUAUGGGAACUAGUAUAACUGGUUUUGUAACAGUAUGUACUAUUUAUAAAUUUGAUGUUAGGUGCAGGAGGCACGAGGAAAGUUUUGGCGGUUUUUAUGGGUGGGGUUUAAUGGUACUAUAUAAAGUUUGGCAUUUAAAUGUAUUAGUAUCGAAGGUUCUCGCAGUUACGUCGAAUUGAAGUUGGUCACAUAGGUAUAUGUGCAGUUGCUGCUAUGUUUAUUGUACGUACAUCCGUUGGAAGUAUUAGCCGAGGAAAAAGA
Mytilus trossulus (common blue mussel) is the source of this 968-nucleotide long non-coding RNA. RefSeq lists it as uncharacterized. Lineage: Eukaryota; Metazoa; Mollusca; Bivalvia; Mytilida; Mytilidae. The record is from RefSeq and is a predicted model, not a curated record. The transcript is spliced from 3 exons.